CCUACGGGCGGCUGCAGUGGGGAAUAUUGGACAAUGGGCGAAAGCCUGAUCCAGCAAUGCCGCGUGAGUGAUGAAGGCCUUAGGGUUGUAAAGCUCUUUUACCCGGGAUGAUAAUGACAGUACCGGGAGAAUAAGCUCCGGCUAACUCCGUGCCAGCAGCCGCGGUAAUACGGAGGGAGCUAGCGUUGUUCGGAAUUACUGGGCGUGAAGCGCACGUAGGCGGCUUUGUAAGUUAGAGGUGAAAGCCUGGAGCUUAACUCCAGAAUUGCCUUUAAGACUGCAUCGCUUGAAUCCGGGAGAGGUGAGUGGAAUUCCGAGUGUAGAGGUGAAAUUCGUAGAUAUUCGGAAGAACACCAGUGGCGAAGGCGGCUCACUGGACCGGUAUUGACGCUGAGGUGCGAAAGCGUGGGGAGCAAACAGGAUUAGAUACCCCAGUAGUC
This 440-nucleotide ribosomal RNA is filed under the name uncultured bacterium. RNAcentral describes it as "partial 16S ribosomal RNA". It matches the Rfam family "Bacterial small subunit ribosomal RNA", at positions 338 to 795 of the family's 1533-position model. The record is from RNAcentral.